RNAcentral lists this transfer RNA (71 nucleotides) under Calumma parsonii. Its description in RNAcentral is "tRNA-Asp". Lineage: Eukaryota; Metazoa; Chordata; Lepidosauria; Squamata; Chamaeleonidae. The record is from RNAcentral.
GAAGCCUUAGUAACAAAUAUUACAUGGCCCUGUCAGAGCUAAAUUAUGGACACCUAAACCCAUAGGCCUCA